RNAcentral lists this ribosomal RNA (433 nucleotides) under uncultured Anaerotruncus sp. Its description in RNAcentral is "partial 16S ribosomal RNA". It matches the Rfam family "Bacterial small subunit ribosomal RNA", at positions 341 to 792 of the family's 1533-position model. Lineage: Bacteria; Bacillati; Bacillota; Clostridia; Eubacteriales; Oscillospiraceae. The record is from RNAcentral.
ACGGAAGGCAGCAGUGGGGGAUAUUGCACAAUGGAGGGAACUCUGAUGCAGCGACGCCGCGUGUGGGAAGACGGUCUUCGGAUUGUAAACCACUGGCUUUGGGGACGAUAAUGACGGUACCCAAGGAGGAAGCUCCGGCUAACUACGUGCCAGCAGCCGCGGUAAUACGUAGGGAGCGAGCGUUGUCCGGAAUUACUGGGUGUAAGGGGAGCGUAGGCGGAAUGACAAGUUGGAUGUUAAAUAUAUCGGCUUAACUGGUAUCUGCAUUCAAAACUGCCGUUCUUGAGUGAAGUAGAGGUUGGUGGAAUUCCUAGUGUAGCGGUGAAAUGCGUAGAUAUUAGGAGGAACACCAGUGGCGAAGGCGGCUUGCUGGACGACAACUGACGCUGAGGCGCGAAAGCGUGGGGAGCAAACAGGAUUAGAUACCCUGGUA